Molecule: ribosomal RNA, 486 nt
Filed under: uncultured bacterium
Lineage: Bacteria
Description: bacterial SSU rRNA
Rfam family: Bacterial small subunit ribosomal RNA
Source: RNAcentral
AUUGAACGCUGGCGGCAUGCCUUACACAUGCAAGUCGAACGGCAGCACGGGAGCAAUCCUGGUGGCGAGUGGCGAACGGGUGAGUAAUAUAUCGGAACGUGCCCAGUCGUGGGGGAUAACGUAGCGAAAGCUACGCUAAUACCGCAUACGAUCUAUGGAUGAAAGCGGGGGGAUCGCAAGACCUCGCGCGAUUGGAGCGGCCGAUAUCAGAUUAGGUAGUUGGUGAGGUAAAGGCUCACCAAGCCGACGAUCUGUAGCUGGUCUGAGAGGACGACCAGCCACACUGGGACUGAGACACGGCCCAGACUCCUACGGGAGGCAGCAGUGGGGAAUUUUGGACAAUGGGGGGCAACCCUGAUCCAGCAAUGCCGCGUGAGUGAAGAAGGCCUUCGGGUUGUAAACUGCUUUUGUACGGAACGAAAAGGUUUCUAUUAAUACUAGGAGCUCAUGACGGUACCGUAAGAAUAAGCACCGGCUAACUACGUG